RNAcentral lists this ribosomal RNA (1070 nucleotides) under uncultured Pseudomonas sp. RNAcentral's name for it is "bacterial SSU rRNA". It matches the Rfam family "Bacterial small subunit ribosomal RNA", at positions 116 to 1182 of the family's 1533-position model. Lineage: Bacteria; Pseudomonadati; Pseudomonadota; Gammaproteobacteria; Pseudomonadales; Pseudomonadaceae. RNAcentral also lists the same sequence under 1 other name. The record is from RNAcentral.
UCUGGGAAACUGCCUGAUGGAGGGGGAUAACUACUGGAAACGGUAGCUAAUACCGCAUAAUGUCGCAAGACCAAAGUGGGGGACCUUCGGGCCUCAUGCCAUCAGAUGUGCCCAGAUGGGAUUAGCUAGUAGGUGGGGUAACGGCUCACCUAGGCGACGAUCCCUAGCUGGUCUGAGAGGAUGACCAGCCACACUGGAACUGAGACACGGUCCAGACUCCUACGGGAGGCAGCAGUGGGGAAUAUUGCACAAUGGGCGCAAGCCUGAUGCAGCCAUGCCGCGUGUGUGAAGAAGGCCUUCGGGUUGUAAAGCACUUUCAGCGGGGAGGAAGGCGAUAAGGUUAAUAACCUUGUUGAUUGACGUUACCCGCAGAAGAAGCACCGGCUAACUCCGUGCCAGCAGCCGCGGUAAUACGGAGGGUGCAAGCGUUAAUCGGAAUUACUGGGCGUAAAGCGCACGCAGGCGGUCUGUCAAGUCGGAUGUGAAAUCCCCGGGCUCAACCUGGGAACUGCAUUCGAAACUGGCAGGCUAGAGUCUUGUAGAGGGGGGUAGAAUUCCAGGUGUAGCGGUGAAAUGCGUAGAGAUCUGGAGGAAUACCGGUGGCGAAGGCGGCCCCCUGGACAAAGACUGACGCUCAGGUGCGAAAGCGUGGGGAGCAAACAGGAUUAGAUACCCUGGUAGUCCACGCCGUAAACGAUGUCGAUUUGGAGGUUGUGCCCUUGAGGCGUGGCUUCCGGAGCUAACGCGUUAAAUCGACCGCCUGGGGAGUACGGCCGCAAGGUUAAAACUCAAAUGAAUUGACGGGGGCCCGCACAAGCGGUGGAGCAUGUGGUUUAAUUCGAUGCAACGCGAAGAACCUUACCUGGUCUUGACAUCCACAGAACUUAGCAGAGAUGCUUUGGUGCCUUCGGGAACUGUGAGACAGGUGCUGCAUGGCUGUCGUCAGCUCGUGUUGUGAAAUGUUGGGUUAAGUCCCGCAACGAGCGCAACCCUUAUCCUUUGUUGCCAGCGGUUAGGCCGGGAACUCAAAGGAGACUGCCAGUGAUAAACUGGGAGGAAGGGUGGGGGGA